This 484-nucleotide ribosomal RNA is filed under the name Staphylococcus cohnii. RNAcentral describes it as "bacterial SSU rRNA". It matches the Rfam family "Bacterial small subunit ribosomal RNA", at positions 8 to 475 of the family's 1533-position model. Lineage: Bacteria; Bacillati; Bacillota; Bacilli; Caryophanales; Staphylococcaceae. The record is from RNAcentral.
AGAGUUUGAUCCUGGCUCAGGAUGAACGCUGGCGGCGUGCCUAAUACAUGCAAGUCGAGCGAACAGAUAAGGAGCUUGCUCCUUUGACGUUAGCGGCGGACGGGUGAGUAACACGUGGGUAACCUACCUAUAAGACUGGAAUAACUCCGGGAAACCGGGGCUAAUGCCGGAUAACAUUUAGAACCGCACGGUUCUAAAGUGAAAGAUGGUUUUGCUAUCACUUAUAGAUGGACCCGCGCCGUAUUAGCUAGUUGGUAAGGUAACGGCUUACCAAGGCAACGAUACGUAGCCGACCUGAGAGGGUGAUCGGCCACACUGGAACUGAGACACGGUCCAGACUCCUACGGGAGGCAGCAGUAGGGAAUCUUCCGCAAUGGGCGAAAGCCCGACGGAGCAACGCCGCGUGAGUGAUGAAGGUCUUCGGAUCGUAAAACUCUGUUAUUAGGGAAGAACAAAUGUGUAAGUAACUGUGCACGCUUGACGU